AUUGAACGCUGGCGGCAGGCCUAACACAUGCAAGUCGAGCGGAUGAAGGGAGCUUGCUCCUGGAUUCAGCGGCGGACGGGUGAGUAAUGCCUAGGAAUCUGCCUGGUAGUGGGGGAUAACGUCCGGAAACGGGCGCUAAUACCGCAUACGUCCUGAGGGAGAAAGUGGGGGAUCUUCGGACCUCACGCUAUCAGAUGAGCCUAGGUCGGAUUAGCUAGUUGGUGGGGUAAAGGCCUACCAAGGCGACGAUCCGUAACUGGUCUGAGAGGAUGAUCAGUCACACUGGAACUGAGACACGGUCCAGACUCCUACGGGAGGCAGCAGUGGGGAAUAUUGGACAGUGGGCGAAAGCCUGAUCCAGCCAUGCCGCGUGUGUGAAGAAGGUCUUCGGAUUGUAAAGCACUUAAGUUGGGAGGAAGGGCAGUAAGUUAAUACCUUGCUGUUUUGACGUUACCAACAGAAUAAGCACCGGCUAACUUCGUG
This 483-nucleotide ribosomal RNA is filed under the name uncultured bacterium. RNAcentral describes it as "partial 16S ribosomal RNA". It matches the Rfam family "Bacterial small subunit ribosomal RNA", at positions 30 to 507 of the family's 1533-position model. The record is from RNAcentral.